GCGAAGAGGUCACACCCGUUCCCAUGCCGAACACGGAAGUUAAGCUCUACAGCGCCGAUGGUAGUCGGGGGUUUCCCCCUGUGAGAGUAGGACGCCGCCAAGC
This 103-nucleotide ribosomal RNA is filed under the name Bacillus spizizenii. Lineage: Bacteria; Bacillati; Bacillota; Bacilli; Caryophanales; Bacillaceae. The record is from RNAcentral.